Molecule: ribosomal RNA, 586 nt
Filed under: uncultured bacterium
Lineage: Bacteria
Description: partial 16S ribosomal RNA
Rfam family: Bacterial small subunit ribosomal RNA
Source: RNAcentral
UGGGGAAUAUUGCACAAUGGGCGCAAGCCUGAUGCAGCCAUGCCGCGUGUGUGAAGAAGGCCUUCGGGUUGUAAAGCACUUUCAGCGAGGAGGAAGGUGGUGAGCUUAAUACGCUCAUCAAUUGACGUUACUCGCAGAAGAAGCACCGGCUAACUCCGUGCCAGCAGCCGCGGUAAUACGGAGGGUGCAAGCGUUAAUCGGAAUUACUGGGCGUAAAGCGCACGCAGGCGGUUUGUUAAGUCAGAUGUGAAAUCCCCGGGCUCAACCUGGGAACUGCAUUUGAAACUGGCAAGCUAGAGUCUCGUAGAGGGGGGUAGAAUUCCAGGUGUAGCGGUGAAAUGCGUAGAGAUCUGGAGGAAUACCGGUGGCGAAGGCGGCCCCCCUGGACGAAGACUGACGCUCAGGUGCGAAAGCGUGGGGCAGCAAACAGGAUUAGAUACCCUGGUAGUCCAGCGCUGUAAACGAUGUCGAUUUGGAGGUUGUGCCCUUGAGGCGUGGCUUCCGGAGCUAACGCGUUAAAUCGACCGCCUGGGGAGUACGGCCGCAAGGUUAAAACUCAAAGGAAUUGACGGGGUCAUAGCUGUUU